This is a long non-coding RNA of Oncorhynchus masou masou (cherry salmon), 3770 nucleotides long. RefSeq lists it as uncharacterized. The record is from RefSeq and is a predicted model, not a curated record. The transcript has 2 exons. NCBI's taxonomy places the organism in Eukaryota, Metazoa, Chordata, Actinopteri, Salmoniformes, Salmonidae.
UGCCUGCAUUUUACGACAUUUCGCCGUGCAUGUGAUUUGCAUAUCGGAUCAUGUAAAAUGCCAACUCUAAAGUGCCAAUGAUUGCAGAAAAUAGUUAGCUAGAGUCGUUAUCAAUCGGUAGUUUAUGUUGCUGUGUUUGUCUUGUUCUUUCUAAACCUGACCACAAUGCGUCUGGUGUGGAGAGAGGAAUAGCAUACCGUAGAAAGUAGAAUAGAUAUGCAGUAGCAACAACAAGCCUUGGCUCGUGUGAGAUGAUGGGAUUUUUAUUUCUUUGAAUCAAAUCUAACCAAAAGCUUCAAUUGCUACCUGCAGAAGCAGACAAAAAUGUUGUUUAUUGAAUAGCACACCAGACUUCUUUGGUUUGCAGCCUCUGGUUUUACCCACACCCUUUCUGUUCGGAUAUAUAACACAUCAGAGAAAAUGGCGGAACUCGAGAAGGAAGGACUGAACCAAACAAUGCAGGAGAACCAAGAUGAAGAUGAGCCCCAUUAUACCGAUGACGCUAAGACAAGCAAGAUGCAAGACGACGCAAGUUUCGAGGAAAAGCUCAUUGAAGAGGUCAGAAGGUACAACAAUUUGUACAACACCUCAUUGAAAGACUAUAAAGACUUCACAAUAACCAACAACAGCUGGAAGGAGAUAGCCCAAACUCUGGGAGUAGAAGAACAGAUUUGCAGGACGAAAUGGAAGAAAUUGAGAGACCGAUAUGUCAGACUGAGGAGGAAGAUUAAGGGGAAGAGUGGGGAUGCAGCAUCAGGAAUACAAACACAAAUACUCACCACGCUGUCCUGGCUGUCUGGCUUCAUUAAACACAAGGAGACGAAGUCAGACUAUCCACAGGCAGAGGAGAUGGACACCUCAGAAGACCUGCAAGAUGACAACCUGAUCGAACGGGAACACUUCCACAGUUCUAAUAAUGAACAGCAAGAUGGACAUUUGGCAGUUAGGAGGAAUGUAAUAUUAGAACGAACAAAAUUCAACCAAAGACAACAAGAAGCAGGAGAGACAGCUGAUGAUUUUAUCACUGCACUUCAUUGUUUGUCAGAACAUUGCGGUUAUGGAGCUCUGCUCAGUGAGAUGAUAAGAGACCGACUAGUCGCAGGCUUACUUGACAGAAGACUGUCCAAGCAAUUACAAAUGGACCCAGAACUCACACUGGAUAAAGCUGUCACAUGUAUUCGUCAAACUGAAAUUGUGGAAAAGCAACAGUACCUGCCGGAGAAUAACUUCAAAGCUGCCAGCAGAAGAGAGAAUGAAGGCUGUGUGCUUUCAUAUAGAGAGCAUCAAUGCCCAGCCAAUGUCCAGUGCCAAUCAGAGAAGAAGAAUCAAAACUCAGAAAGGCUACAACAACCCCAAACAACACACGAGAAGGAAGAGGAGCCCCUAGAUACUGAUGACACUGAUGGCUUCAGUCCUGGAGGAGAAAAGCCUCACUACUGCGCCUACUGCAGUAGGAGCUUUCAAAAAGUGAGGGAUCUUAUAAGACACAGACGAACACAUACUGGAGAGAAGCCUCACCACUGCCCUGAUUGUGACAGAAGGUUUGCUCGAUUAGAUAAGCUUAAAUUACACCAGCAAACACAUACUGGAGAGAAGCCUCACCACUGCCCUGAUUGCGGCAGAAGUUUUGCUCGAUUAGAUAAGCUAAAGAUCCACAAAGAAAUACACAUAGGAGUGAAGUCUCACCACUGCCCUGAUUGCAACAGAGGUUUUGCUCGUUUAGAUAAGCUUAAGUCACACCAAAAAAAACAUGCAAAAGACAAACAUAUUUGUCACUCUUCUGACUGUGUGAAAAGUUUUGUCCUAUUGGAGAAGCUUGAAAAACACCAGCUGGAGAAUACCUUCAAAGCUACCAGCAGUGCAUCCAAUGUAGACUGGGUGCUCACACAGCAGAGAACAUUCAGCAAAGUUAGAGAGAGUAAAAGGCAGCAGAGUAAAGUACGAGCUAGAGCUCCAGGAAAGAGAACACCAACACAUAGCAAAACAGUAGAGGAGAAGGAAGAGGAGCCCCUAGAUACUGAUGAUUCUGAUGAUUGGAUCGAGGGUUUCAGUCCUGGAGGAGAGAAGCCACACUACUGCUUUGACUGCGGUAAGAACUUUAGAAAAGUGAGGGAUCUUAUAAGACACCAGCGAACACAUACGGGAGAGAAACCUCACCACUGCCCUGUUUGUGACAGAACUUUCGCUAGAUUAGAUAAACUUAAAUUACACCAAGAAAUACAUACAGGAGUGAAGCCUCACCACUGCCCUCAUUGUGAGAGAAGCUUUGCUCGAUUAGAUAAUCUUAAAUUACACCAAAAAAUACAUAUUAAAGAGGAACAUAAUGUCACACCGAACCAUCAAACUGAAAUGAAUGUAGACUGUGUGCACACACAGCAGAGAACAGCCAUCAGAGGCAGGCAAAAGAGUAAAAUGCGAGCUAGUGCACCAGGGAAAAGAAUGGUCCAGUCACAGCCAGGCAAAGACUCCCCUUACAAAAGUUCAGUUCGAAAGAAUCAACACUCAGAAAAAUUACAACAACCCCAAACAACGCAGGAGAAUGAAGAGGAUCCUGAAGGUACUUCUAAUAACUGGACCGAGAGUUUCAGUACUGUAGAGAAGCCAUACAUCUGCUCCGACUGCGGUAAGAGCUUCAGACUAGAGAAUCGUCUUAUAAGACAUCAGCGAACACAUACAGGAGAGAAGCCUUACGACUGCCCCGACUGUGACAAAAGUUUUGCGCGAUUAGAUCAUGUUAAGUCACACCAAAAAACACACAUGAAGGAGGAACGUAAUUUCCGCUGCUCUGACUGUGUGAAAAGCUUUGUCCGGUUGGAACAGCUUGAAAAACAUCAGCUAACACACAAGAAAAGUUAUAGCUGUUCAAAGUGUGAGGAAAGGUUUUCAGACCUGGUUGACUGGAAAGCACACUUUUUAGUACACAGAGAGAUCCUCCACUGUCCUGACUGUAACAAGCAGUUCUUGUACAAGGGACUUUUUGAAAGACACAGGAGAACACAUUUGAGAAAAAGAGAGAAAUUUCUCUGCACAAUAUGUGGGAAGGAGAUUCACAACUUUAAAAUACACAUGCGAGUACACACUGGAGAGAAACCAUAUCACUGCACUGAGUGUGGGAAGAGUUUUGCAUAUACAAAAUCGUACAAAACACAUAUAUUAACACAUACCUCUGGAGAAAGAGCAACCUAUCCUUGUUUGGAAUGUGGAAAGACAUUUACUCGCAUAGAUGGCAUGGUGAGACACGUGAGGAGGGUUCAUACUGGAGAGAGAAAUCAUCAGUGCGGAGACUGUGGAAAAAGAUUCUUUCGAAAAGAGUCACUGAAGAGACACAGUCUAGUUCACACUGGAGAGAAACCAUACCAAUGCUCUGUCUGUGGGCAACGCUUCUCCCAAGAUGGCGACAGAAAACGGCACGAGAAGAGGCACUACUCUGGUGUCUCAGAUUUCCUCGAUCUAUAAUGCAGAAGUGGUGUUUGGCAUUGCAGGAACCUACCCAAUGUGAUUUCUAACCAGUUGUUCUUUUGCCUCCAGGUGGCCUGGAAUUGCCACUUCAGACUGUAGAAAAGACACAGACAGACUGUUGCUGAUACACAACAAGUCUGAGUAUUACUGUUUUCAUAGCAGUAUUUUUUAUUUUUUAUUAUUUUAAAUGUGUUUUAAUAUUUUGUUUCAAAAUGGCAUAGUAUACUAUCAAUAGCGGUCAUUGUUAAAUGAUGGGCCUUCCCCAUAAGUGGUUUGCAGUCAGCUAUAUUGUAUUAAAGAUGCACAAAGCA